This 158-nucleotide ribosomal RNA is filed under the name uncultured Russula. RNAcentral describes it as "5.8S ribosomal RNA". It matches the Rfam family "5.8S ribosomal RNA". From Rfam's summary of the family: 5.8S ribosomal RNA (5.8S rRNA) is a component of the large subunit of the eukaryotic ribosome. It is transcribed by RNA polymerase I as part of the 45S precursor that also contains 18S and 28S rRNA. Functionally, it is thought that 5.8S rRNA may be involved in ribosome translocation. Lineage: Eukaryota; Fungi; Basidiomycota; Agaricomycetes; Russulales; Russulaceae. The record is from RNAcentral.
CAACUUUCAACAACGGAUCUCUUGGCUCUCGCAUCGAUGAAGAACGCAGCGAAAUGCGAUACGUAAUGUGAAUUGCAGAACACAGUGAAUCAUCGAAUCUUUGAACGCACCUUGCGCCCCUUGGCAUUCCGAGGGGCACACCCGUUUGAGUGUCGUGA